AAAUUGAAGAGUUUGAUCAUGGCUCAGAUUGAACGCUGGCGGCAGGCCUAACACAUGCAAGUCGGACGGUAGCACAGAGGAGCUUGCUCCUUGGGUGACGAGUGGCGGACGGGUGAGUAAUGUCUGGGGAUCUGCCCGAUAGAGGGGGAUAACCACUGGAAACGGUGGCUAAUACCGCAUAACGUCGCAAGACCAAAGAGGGGGA
Molecule: ribosomal RNA, 205 nt
Filed under: Pantoea sp. WMus005
Lineage: Bacteria; Pseudomonadati; Pseudomonadota; Gammaproteobacteria; Enterobacterales; Erwiniaceae
Description: partial 16S ribosomal RNA
Rfam family: Bacterial small subunit ribosomal RNA
Source: RNAcentral